AAUUAUAUUUAAUUACAAGUGUGCCCCUGGUAGUCUUUAACUGAAGGGCACUGACUGGGUCACUGGUGAAGUUCCCCGCAGGAACUGAGUCAGACCCCAUCUCAGGGCCCUGCACAAGAUAGGUGCCUGCUCUAAGGCGUGGACCCUCGCCACAGCCCUGGCCCGUCUUGACGGGCGAGGGUUACUGUACUUGUCCCAACCGUACAGAUGAGAAAGCUGAGACUCAGGGCCAGCAACCCGGGUCCCAGCGGAGCGCCCGGCACACGCCGACACUUCAGCACCAGUGGCGGUGGCCACCACUGUGGGCGGAGAUGGCUGCGACGCGUGCGCAGAUCUCGAUCCCAAACUCCCUCCUGCCAGAAUCUGGACCCGAAUCCACCCAUUGCCCGUUUUCCGCUGCCGCUGGAGAGAAUCUCUGAGGUCCCCAGGAGAGCCUGCCUGCACGGAAGAGACGCCUCCUCGGGAAAUUUGUGCACAGAGAUAACACAGGGGAUAUGCCAUAUGAAGAUGAAGGCAGAAUUCUACAAGCCCAGGGAUGCCAAAGAUUGCCAGCAAACCACCAGAAGCUAGGAGAGAAGUGUGGAUUAGAUUCUUCCUCACAGCCCUCAGAAGGAUCCAGCCCUGCCAAGAACUUGAUCUCAGACUUCUAGUCUCCAGAACUGUGAGACAGUGCAUUUUGUUUUGUAAGUCAGCCAUAUGGUUUGUGGCACUUUUUUAUGGCAGCCCUAGGAGAUGAAGACAAUAUGCAACAUGGUAUGUCCAUUAUAGGACACUGUGGGCCAUAAAUGUGUUCUUUGGCCUGAAGAAAUAAAACUUGGUGGUCCAA
RNAcentral lists this long non-coding RNA (826 nucleotides) under Homo sapiens (human). RNAcentral describes it as "HSALNT0351972". Lineage: Eukaryota; Metazoa; Chordata; Mammalia; Primates; Hominidae. The record is from RNAcentral.